AUUGAACGCUGGCGGCAUGCUUUACACAUGCAAGUCGAACGGCAGCACGGGCUUCGGCCUGGUGGCGAGUGGCGAACGGGUGAGUAAUGCAUCGGAACGUACCGUGUAGUGGGGGAUAACGUAGCGAAAGUUACGCUAAUACCGCAUACGCCCCGAGGGGGAAAGUGGGGGACCGCAAGGCCUCACGCUAUAUGAGCGGCCGAUGUCGGAUUAGCUAGUUGGUAGGGUAAAGGCCUACCAAGGCGACGAUCCGUAGCGGGUCUGAGAGGAUGAUCCGCCACACUGGGACUGAGACACGGCCCAGACUCCUACGGGAGGCAGCAGCAAGGAAUUUUCGGCAAUGGGCGCAAGCCUGACCGAGCAACGCCGCGUGGAGGACGACGGCCCUUCGGGUUGGUAAACUCCUUUUGUCGGGGGACGGAUUGUGACUGUACCCCGCGAAUCAGGCUCGGCUAACUCUGUG
RNAcentral lists this ribosomal RNA (463 nucleotides) under uncultured bacterium. RNAcentral's name for it is "bacterial SSU rRNA". It matches the Rfam family "Bacterial small subunit ribosomal RNA", at positions 28 to 507 of the family's 1533-position model. The record is from RNAcentral.